This 253-nucleotide ribosomal RNA is filed under the name uncultured bacterium. RNAcentral describes it as "partial 16S ribosomal RNA". It matches the Rfam family "Bacterial small subunit ribosomal RNA", at positions 524 to 776 of the family's 1533-position model. The record is from RNAcentral.
UACGUAGGGUGCAAGCGUUAAUCAGAAUUACUGGGCGUAAAGCGUGCGCAGGCGGUUAUGCAAGACAGAUGUGAAAUCCCCGGGCUUAACCUGGGAACUGCGUUUGUGACUGCAAGGCUAGGGUACGGCAGAGGGGGGUGGAAUUCCGCGUGUAGCAGUGAAAUUCGUAGAGAUGCGGAGGAACACCGAUGGCGAAGGCAGCCCCCUGGGAUAACACUGACGCUCAUGCACGAAAGCGUGGGGAGCAAACAGG